Molecule: ribosomal RNA, 468 nt
Filed under: uncultured bacterium
Lineage: Bacteria
Description: partial 16S ribosomal RNA
Rfam family: Bacterial small subunit ribosomal RNA
Source: RNAcentral
GACGAACGCUGGCGGCGUGCUUAACACAUGCAAGUCGAACGGAAAGGCCCUGCUUUUGUGGGGUGCUCGAGUGGCGAACGGGUGAGUAACACGUGAGUAACCUGCCCUUGACUUUGGGAUAACUUCAGGAAACUGGGGCUAAUACCCGAUAGGAGCUCCUGCUCCAUGGUGGGGGUUGGAAAGUUUCGGCGGUUGGGGAUGGACUCGCGGCUUAUCCGCUUGUUGGUGGGGUAGUGGCUUACCAAGGCUUUGACGGGUAGCCGGCCUGAGAGGGUGACCGGCCACAUGGGGACUGAGAUACGGCCCAGACUCCUACGGGAGGCAGCAGUGGGGAAUAUUGCACAAUGGGCGGAAGCCUGAUGCAGCAACGCCGCGUGCGGGAUGACGGCCUUCGGGUUGUAAACCGCUUUCGCCUGUGACGAAGCGUGAGUGACGGUAAUGGGUAAAGAAGCACCGGCUAACUACGUG